Molecule: non-coding RNA, 21 nt
Filed under: Caenorhabditis elegans
Lineage: Eukaryota; Metazoa; Nematoda; Chromadorea; Rhabditida; Rhabditidae
Source: RNAcentral
UGAUCUAUGAUAUAAUCCACU